AGUGAAUAGAUACCCGGGUAGUCCACGCUGUAAACUAUGAAUGCUAGCUGUUAUGAGUAUCGACCCUCGUAGUAGCGAAGCUAACGCGUUAAGCAUUCCGCCUGUGGAGUACGAGCGCAAGCUUAAAACGUAAAGGAAUUGACGGGGACCCGCACAAGCGGUGGAGCGUGUUGUUUAAUUCGAUGCUAAGCGAAGAACCUUACCCAGGUUUGACAUCUUGCUAAUUCUCCGAAAGGAGAGAGUGCCUUCGGGUCCGCAAUGACAGGUGUUGCAUGGCCGUCGUCAGCUCGUGUUGUGAAGCGUUAGGUUAAAGUCCUAUAACGAGCGCAACCCUUUUGUUUAGUUGUA
Molecule: ribosomal RNA, 348 nt
Filed under: uncultured bacterium
Lineage: Bacteria
Description: bacterial SSU rRNA
Rfam family: Bacterial small subunit ribosomal RNA
Source: RNAcentral